ACGCUGGCGGCAGGCCUAACACAUGCAAGUCGAGCGGUAGCACAGGAGAGCUUGCUCUCUGGGUGACGAGCGGCGGACGGGUGAGUAAUGUCUGGGAAACUGCCUGAUGGAGGGGGAUAACUACUGGAAACGGUAGCUAAUACCGCAUGACCUCGCAAGAGCAAAGUGGGGGACCUUCGGGCCUCACGCCAUCGGAUGUGCCCAGAUGGGAUUAGCUAGUAGGUGGGGUAAUGGCUCACCUAGGCGACGAUCCCUAGCUGGUCUGAGAGGAUGACCAGCCACACUGGAACUGAGACACGGUCCAGACUCCUACGGGAGGCAGCAGUGGGGAAUAUUGCACAAUGGGCGCAAGCCUGAUGCAGCCAUGCCGCGUGUGUGAAGAAGGCCUUAGGGUUGUAAAGCACUUUCAGCGAGGAGGAAGGCGUUGCAGUUAAUAGCUGCAGCGAUUGACGUUACUCGCAGAAGAAGCACCGGCUAACUCUGUGCCAGCAGCCGCGGUAAUACGGAGGGUGCAAGCGUUAAUCGGAAUUACUGGGCGUAAAGCGCACGCAGGCGGUUUGUUAAGUCAGAUGUGAAAUCCCCGAGCUUAACUUGGGAACUGCAUUUGAAACUGGCAAGCUAGAGUCUUGUAGAGGGGGGUAGAAUUCCAGGUGUAGCGGUGAAAUGCGUAGAGAUCUGGAGGAAUACCGGUGGCGAAGGCGGCCCCCUGGACAAAGACUGACGCUCAGGUGCGAAAGCGUGGGGAGCAAAC
RNAcentral lists this ribosomal RNA (751 nucleotides) under uncultured bacterium. RNAcentral describes it as "bacterial SSU rRNA". It matches the Rfam family "Bacterial small subunit ribosomal RNA", at positions 33 to 773 of the family's 1533-position model. The record is from RNAcentral.